AAGAAAAUGACAGAGUGGAAAUGUGGCUGGUUUGAAACCAGGGUACGGGGGUUCGAUUCCCUCUUUUCUCG
This 71-nucleotide transfer RNA is filed under the name Champsodon cf. snyderi CBM-ZF 10876. RNAcentral describes it as "tRNA-Ser(UCN)". It matches the Rfam family "tRNA". Rfam says of the family: Transfer RNA (tRNA) molecules are approximately 80 nucleotides in length. The record is from RNAcentral. Lineage: Eukaryota; Metazoa; Chordata; Actinopteri; Acropomatiformes; Champsodontidae.